GGAAAAAUGAUCAUCAAAUAAGAUGCCUUGCCCACCUUACAUUUAAAAGAAACAAAUUUGAAAUUGUCAACAUGUCUAACAGUGAAAUUGAGUGCACAGGUUUCUGUUUAAACAUCAGAUUCUACAAAGUCUGCCAAGAAUUCACUAGAAAAUUUUUGAAACAGUGUUAGAAUAUGUUCACUCUUAAUCUUACAGACGGGAUAUAGCUCAGUGGCACUGCACCUAUCUGGCAAGUGCAAAGUCCAUUUCUGUUACUGAAAAAAACAUAUAGUUAUUCUUUGUUUCCAUUAAAUUCUUUCUUAGUUUUAGAUUUUGCAAAUAGUAUAAAUUUUGUACUUAAGAGCGGGAGUUUUCAACCCCAUGGAACAGGCCAUAGACCAAUAGCUUUGCAUUGGCCUGUUAGAAUCAGGCCACAUGGGACACAAGCAGUAGGGAAGCUUGUCCUGUAUUUACAGCUGCUCAUCACUUGCAUUAGCACCUGAGGUCUACCUCCUUCAGAUCAGUGGUGGCAUUAGUCUCAAGAAGCAUAAACUGUCUUCCAUGAACCCAGUCUCUACAAAAAAAGUUGGGGACCUUAGUAUCAAUUACAAGAGGUCUUCAAAUUUGUAGGAAAAUAGGGAAAAAGUGAAUACCAUACCAAGUUGCUUACACUGAGCUGUAUCACCACUUAAUAUUUUCAGUACCUUAACUGAUUUUUUAUGUGUGACUUCAUAGAACGUUACAGAUUGAACUAAAGCCCCAUGCGUACCUCUUCUUUACCUCUUUUUUUUCUCCAGGGGUAAUCAUUACCCUAAAUUUAGCAUGUUUUUAUUCAGUGAUUCCUUUUCAAAGUGGGGAAUGACCUCUUUUCAGUAGUCUAAAUUUUUCUGUCUGGUUAACAAAAAUACUGCAGCUAUUGUAAUACUUAGCUGUUCGGUAAAGUACUUUGUUGUCCAGAUUCUUAAACAUAACUUUUUUGCUACACAUAGCCACCACUCUUGCAACUUCCUCCCUUUCUUCCAUUCUUACCUUUCUCUGCUUCUCAUUCCCACUUCAGUG
Long non-coding RNA from Heterocephalus glaber (naked mole-rat), 1038 nucleotides. Lineage: Eukaryota; Metazoa; Chordata; Mammalia; Rodentia; Bathyergidae. The record is from Ensembl.